RNAcentral lists this ribosomal RNA (501 nucleotides) under uncultured bacterium. RNAcentral's name for it is "partial 16S ribosomal RNA". It matches the Rfam family "Bacterial small subunit ribosomal RNA", at positions 30 to 523 of the family's 1533-position model. The record is from RNAcentral.
AUUGAACGCUGGCGGCAGGCUUAACACAUGCAAGUCGAGCGGGGGAAGGUAGCUUGCUACCGGACCUAGCGGCGGACGGGUGAGUAAUGCUUAGGAAUCUGCCUAUUAGUGGGGGACAACAUCUCGAAAGGGAUGCUAAUACCGCAUACGUCCUACGGGAGAAAGCAGGGGAUCUUCGGACCUUGCGCUAAUAGAUGAGCCUAAGUCGGAUUAGCUAGUUAGUGGGGUAAAGGCCUACCAAGGCGACGAUCUGUAGCGGGUCUGAGAGGAUGAUCCGCCACACUGGGACUGAGACACGGCCCAGACUCCUACGGGAGGCAGCAGUGGGGAAAAUUGGACAAUGGGGGGAACCCUGAUCCAGCCAUGCCGCGUGUGUGAAGAAGGCCUUAUGGUUGUAAAGCACUUUAAGCGAGGAGGAGGCUACUCUAGUUAAUACCUAGGGAUAGUGGACGUUACUCGCAGAAUAAGCACCGGCUAACUCUGUGCCAGCAGCCGCCGUAA